Long non-coding RNA from Gallus gallus (chicken), 489 nucleotides. The record is from Ensembl. NCBI's taxonomy places the organism in Eukaryota, Metazoa, Chordata, Aves, Galliformes, Phasianidae.
AUCCCUUGCAGAGAGAAUCCCUGACAAGUUUGCAAAUCAACCUCCCCUUCUGCAACUAACAUCAGUAAAUUGCCAUAUCUCCUAAAAUGUAGUAGCUGCCAUUUUCUCAUAAUACUAAGUGGAGGGAAUUCUCUUAAAAACAACUGAGGAGGAGAGACAGAGAAGACAGCUAUGAUCAGAGGCGCCAUCACUGAUAGGACUCAGUCUGCAGGACAGCAUGAUCUGGCUCCACAAAUACAGAAUAAUCUUCAUACGAGCUUUAGUUGGUUUGUCAGAAGACACUAUCAUUCAUCCGUAUUCAAGGUUUAUUUACAGCCCAUGUCUCUUGGGCCUCAAUAGUUCACUGCUCUUGAAUGUAAGGAAGAGAUGCAAGUAUGUACAAGACAGUUUUGACCUCAGAAAACAUAGGGCCAAUCAUCAAGGCUCAAACAAACUGCUGGCAAGACCUCUGUGCAGUCAGAUUUGACAACAAAGAACACACAUGAGAAC